UGGACAGAUUAUUAUAUUCAACUGUAGUCACGGCGUGAAAUAGGGGAUUACACUGUUUUUAAAACGGAAAGUGAAUCAAUUAACAUAAUAGACUCCU
Molecule: microRNA precursor, 97 nt
Filed under: Nicotiana sylvestris (wood tobacco)
Lineage: Eukaryota; Viridiplantae; Streptophyta; Magnoliopsida; Solanales; Solanaceae
Also listed under: 1 other name
Description: MIR6152 microRNA precursor family
Rfam family: MIR6152 microRNA precursor family
Source: Rfam by way of RNAcentral